Molecule: ribosomal RNA, 254 nt
Filed under: uncultured bacterium
Lineage: Bacteria
Description: partial 16S ribosomal RNA
Rfam family: Archaeal small subunit ribosomal RNA
Source: RNAcentral
CCCCAGCGCCACAAGUGGGAACCACGCUUAUUGGGUCUAAAGCAUCCGUAGCCGGUUCUGCAAAUGCCCUGUGAAAUCGUUGCGCUCAACGUAACGACGUGCAGGGUAGACUACAGAACUAGGGACCAGAGGAAGUAGACGGUAUUCCUGAGGGAGCGGUAAAAUGUGAUAAUCUCAGGAGGACCACCGAUGGCGAAGGCAGUCUACUAAUAUGGAUCCGACGGUGAGGGAUGAAAGCUAGGGGAGCGAUCCGG